CACGGCAGGAUCUGGCGGUGCUGCAAGACAAGCUGCGGAUCUCCACCAAGAAGCUGGAGGAGUACGAGACCCUGUUCAAGUGCCAGGAGGAGACGACGCAGAAGCUGGUGCUCGAGUACCAGGCUCGGCUGGAGGAGGGCGAGGAGCGGCUGCGGCGGCAGCAGGAAGACAAGGACGUCCAGAUGAAGGGCAUCAUCAGCAGGUUGAUGUCUGUGGAGGAGGAACUGAAGAAGGAUCACGCUGAGAUGCAAGCGGCCGUAGACUCCAAACAGAAGAUCAUCGAUGCCCAGGAAAAGCGCAUUGCCUCGCUGGACGCUGCCAAUGCCCGCCUCAUGAGUGCCCUCACACAGCUGAAAGAGAGGUACAGCAUGCGAGCCCGUAACGGCGUCUCCCCCACCAACCCCACCAAAUUGCAGAUUACUGAGAACGGCGAGUUCAGAAACAGCAGCAAUUGUUAACCUGCCUGAGGAGAGGGGACUGUGGUGGCCCAGGCAGGGUCUCGGUCAGGAGGCUCCCCACAGUUGCAGACUAGCCUGCAGUGGAGGGGGCGCAGGACUGAUGGAGCGUGAGACUGAGGGCACAGUGCCCCCCCACCUGAAGUGGGUGUGGGUAGAGGCAGUAGAGACUGCGCUGGGGAGUGGGGACAGCCUGCAGAGAGGUCUGCCUGCCAACUGUGUCUCUGGUUGUUGGAUUUGGUAUGUGGCACCUUUUCCUCUUUGACCAGCCAGCCAGGUGCAUGUACCCCUUACC
This 750-nucleotide long non-coding RNA is filed under the name Rattus norvegicus (Norway rat). RNAcentral's name for it is "long non-coding RNA NONRATT018068". The record is from RNAcentral. Lineage: Eukaryota; Metazoa; Chordata; Mammalia; Rodentia; Muridae.